CACUUACCUGGCCAAUUUGAAAUAUUAAGUCUUGAAUAUGAUUUCUUAGUGAUUUGGUUUAGCCCAUUCUAAUUAGAUCAGUCAUUUGAUGACUAAUUAGAUGAGAUUUAAACCUAAACUUAAAUCUCUCUAUGAAUAUUAAGUCUAAAAAUCUUCCACCAAUGUAGAAGUAUGGACGUGCUACUAGUAUUGAUUGUUCUU
RNAcentral lists this long non-coding RNA (201 nucleotides) under Elaeis guineensis (African oil palm). RNAcentral's name for it is "long non-coding RNA (EGUI_LNC014234)". The record is from RNAcentral. Lineage: Eukaryota; Viridiplantae; Streptophyta; Magnoliopsida; Arecales; Arecaceae.